AACAUCGCGCACCUGCGGGAACCUGCGGAGGGAUCAUUACCGAAGUUACUCUUCAUACCCUUAUGUGAACCCUACCCCUCGCCGCGCGGUUGCCUCGGCGGGAGGUCGCGGAGCCCCGGCCCCGCGGCCCCCGCCGGCCGCGCCCAACUCUUCUUCUGCAAAGCGGACUGCAAGUUCUGAUUACAUCUUGAAAAACAAGUCAAAACUUUCAACAACGGAUCUCAGAUCGGAAGAGCACAC
This 240-nucleotide unclassified non-coding RNA is filed under the name soil metagenome. RNAcentral describes it as "partial contains 5.8S ribosomal RNA, internal transcribed spacer 2, and large subunit ribosomal RNA". The record is from RNAcentral.